RNAcentral lists this ribosomal RNA (363 nucleotides) under Salmonella enterica subsp. enterica serovar Agona str. SA-3. Its description in RNAcentral is "bacterial SSU rRNA". It matches the Rfam family "Bacterial small subunit ribosomal RNA", at positions 1 to 360 of the family's 1533-position model. The record is from RNAcentral. Lineage: Bacteria; Pseudomonadati; Pseudomonadota; Gammaproteobacteria; Enterobacterales; Enterobacteriaceae.
AAAUUGAAGAGUUUGAUCAUGGCUCAGAUUGAACGCUGGCGGCAGGCCUAACACAUGCAAGUCGAACGGUAACAGGAAGCAGCUUGCUGCUUUGCUGACGAGUGGCGGACGGGUGAGUAAUGUCUGGGAAACUGCCUGAUGGAGGGGGAUAACUACUGGAAACGGUGGCUAAUACCGCAUAACGUCGCAAGACCAAAGAGGGGGACCUUCGGGCCUCUUGCCAUCAGAUGUGCCCAGAUGGGAUUAGCUUGUUGGUGAGGUAACGGCUCACCAAGGCGACGAUCCCUAGCUGGUCUGAGAGGAUGACCAGCCACACUGGAACUGAGACACGGUCCAGACUCCUACGGGAGGCAGCAGUGGGGG